This 697-nucleotide long non-coding RNA is filed under the name Homo sapiens (human). Its description in RNAcentral is "non-protein coding lnc-LIPI-17:1". The record is from RNAcentral. Lineage: Eukaryota; Metazoa; Chordata; Mammalia; Primates; Hominidae.
AUGGCCCAAGUUUUAGUGUCUACCCUGUCCAUUGAAGAUGAGGACUCCUACGAGAGCAGGAUGGUGGUGACGUUCCUCAUGUCAGCUCUUGAGUCCACGUUUAAAGAACUGGCCAAGUUUAAGGCCAAAGUGGCCUGCAUCACAGAGUAUAAAGCAGAUCUCUUUGCCUUCAGAACUGAAGGACAGAGGACACAAUUUUUUCAAUACCAGAAGGGAUUUUCAAGCCGAUUUUGUGAAAUAUUGUGUUGAAGAAGAAGAAAAGGUUGCAGAGAUGCAUAAAAUAAAGUCUACAACCCAGGUGAAUCAGAUGAGUGUAGAUGUUGUAGAAAUGGCAACACUCGGAAAAAAACAGUUGAGGACUAUUUCUGCUUUUGCUAGGGAAAGCUUUACAAAAACCCACAGAGGUACCUGUACCAUAUGAGAAGAUGCUACAAGACCAGUCAGCUUUGAUAGUACAGGGGCUUCCGGAAGGUGUUGCCUUUAAACACCCUGAGAACUAUGAUCUUGCAACCCUGAAAUGGAUUUUGGAGAACACAGCUGGGAUUUCAUUUAUUAUUAAUAGAUCUUUCUUAGAGCCAAAGAAGCCUCUAGAUUAGGGAUUGCUUUGCUUCCUUGAUAGCUGGCUGGCUUCCUAUCCCUCAUUUCCCUGGAAGUGGCAGCUGUGACAGUAAAGGAAGAAUCAGAAGAUCCUGAUUAU